RNAcentral lists this small RNA (35 nucleotides) under Arabidopsis thaliana (thale cress). RNAcentral's name for it is "ATSL114300". Lineage: Eukaryota; Viridiplantae; Streptophyta; Magnoliopsida; Brassicales; Brassicaceae. The record is from RNAcentral.
AAAGACUGAUGCAAAAAAAAAGAGAGAGAAAACGA